RNAcentral lists this long non-coding RNA (1419 nucleotides) under Homo sapiens (human). RNAcentral describes it as "HSALNT0031824". The record is from RNAcentral. Lineage: Eukaryota; Metazoa; Chordata; Mammalia; Primates; Hominidae.
GUGCCAAUCACUCCUAUUCUCUGCCUUGUUCUUUAGACCUCCAUCUUAUCUGUGUCUUCUCCCCUUCUCUUCUUCUAUAAGGACACUUGUCAUUGGAGUUAGGGCCCAUACUAAUCCAGGAUGAUUUCAUCUUAAGAUCCUCAACUUAAUUACAUCUGCAAAAACCUUUUUUCCAAAUAAGGUUCACAUUCACAUGUUGUAGUUGGACCUAUCUUUCAGGGGAUAACCAUGCAACCUACUCUCAGGGCUGAGGCAAGAUUAAAGCUAAAAAAACAAUGUGCAAUUCUAAUGAGGCAGUAAUCUAAAUAUGACUAGAGCAGGAUUUUUGCAGGAAAAAAAGGCAAAUGGUCUUCGUUUUGUGUUGUUUCAUCUUGUUUUAGUUGAGUAUGAAGUCACAACUCUUUUUUUUUCUAAUACACAAAGAAAGGAGGUACCCACUUAUUUAAUUAAUUCUGAUGAAUCAGUAUCAGAGUCCUUUUAGGGGAACCAAGUUUAGGUGGGGGGGUGGGGCGCUGAUAAUGGAAGUGGGUAGGUGAAGGAGGAAGCCUUACUAGGUAUUCUAGGCAUGACACCAAGCUCUCCUGGGCAUGUCAGGUCCAUCAGCUCUGGACUAUGUUGCUUUCCCUGCCCUUAGGUUUCCAAUCUGAGUUUGCAAAGGCCUUCUCCAAAACUCAAGCUCAUCUCUGAAUCGCAGGGUACCCAACUAGCAACCUGUACCUGACUAGAUGUUGACCUCUUGUAUAAUCCCUUGAUUUAAAGUGCUUGAUACUGAACUACAUCCCUACUGGGAUGAACCCAUCAUAGCGGCUCAAGGUGAGAGACCUAAUCACUUUCCCCGACCAUCAAAUCCCAAACCUCAUGUUUUCUCUUCGAUCUGUAGAUGCAAUAGAUUGUACCAAAUUCAACAGAUGCUUGCAUGUUGUCCAGAACCUCUUCCUUUACACACUUCCUUGCAAUUUGAUGUGGAGGAAAUAGCCAACCUUGGCUGAGAGCUUGGGAGACAUUACAAGGCACAUGAGGCAGAAAGAAGCACUGCCAAGAUUUCACUUCUGUUUGUGCUGGUCUCUACUGUGGUUUACAAUGAAAAGAACAAUUUUAAGAAGAACAAAUUCAUCAAACCCUGGGGCUCUGAAGCAACAGUGUUCCUGGUCUUGCCAGAACCUGGCCCUAGAACCACCUUCUUUAGAAAAUAUGGAAGAAUCCCAAGUCUCUUGAUGCUCAGGAAAAACCAACCGUAAUACACAUUGUCUGCACAUGGGAAUCUUGUCUCCCUUCCUUUUUUGCAUACCCGAACCCCAUCUACCUUUCAAGGCUCAGCUAAAUCUCUGCAUCCUCCAUGAAUUCCUCCUUAGUUAAAGGUCUUAUUGCCAAUAUCAUAAUCUAUAUCACUUAAUUAUUUUUAUUCUAUUCUUUGUGGCU